This 1061-nucleotide ribosomal RNA is filed under the name Escherichia coli. RNAcentral describes it as "partial 23S ribosomal RNA". It matches the Rfam family "Bacterial large subunit ribosomal RNA", at positions 614 to 1677 of the family's 2925-position model. The record is from RNAcentral. Lineage: Bacteria; Pseudomonadati; Pseudomonadota; Gammaproteobacteria; Enterobacterales; Enterobacteriaceae.
AAUGGGUCAGCGACUUAUAUUCUGUAGCAAGGUUAACCGAAUAGGGGAGCCGAAGGGAAACCGAGUCUUAACUGGGCGUUAAGUUGCAGGGUAUAGACCCGAAACCCGGUGAUCUAGCCAUGGGCAGGUUGAAGGUUGGGUAACACUAACUGGAGGACCGAACCGACUAAUGUUGAAAAAUUAGCGGAUGACUUGUGGCUGGGGGUGAAAGGCCAAUCAAACCGGGAGAUAGCUGGUUCUCCCCGAAAGCUAUUUAGGUAGCGCCUCGUGAAUUCAUCUCCGGGGGUAGAGCACUGUUUCGGCAAGGGGGUCAUCCCGACUUACCAACCCGAUGCAAACUGCGAAUACCGGAGAAUGUUAUCACGGGAGACACACGGCGGGUGCUAACGUCCGUCGUGAAGAGGGAAACAACCCAGACCGCCAGCUAAGGUCCCAAAGUCAUGGUUAAGUGGGAAACGAUGUGGGAAGGCCCAGACAGCCAGGAUGUUGGCUUAGAAGCAGCCAUCAUUUAAAGAAAGCGUAAUAGCUCACUGGUCGAGUCGGCCUGCGCGGAAGAUGUAACGGGGCUAAACCAUGCACCGAAGCUGCGGCAGCGACGCUGAUGCGUUGUUGGGUAGGGGAGCGUUCUGUAAGCCUGUGAAGGUGUGCUGUGAGGCAUGCUGGAGGUAUCAGAAGUGCGAAUGCUGACAUAAGUAACGAUAAAGCGGGUGAAAAGCCCGCUCGCCGGAAGACCAAGGGUUCCUGUCCAACGUUAAUCGGGGCAGGGUGAGUCGACCCCUAAGGCGAGGCCGAAAGGCGUAGUCGAUGGGAAACAGGUUAAUAUUCCUGUACUUGGUGUUACUGCGAAGGGGGGACGGAGAAGGCUAUGUUGGCCGGGCGACGGUUGUCCCGGUUUAAGCGUGUAGGCUGGUUUUCCAGGCAAAUCCGGAAAAUCAAGGCUGAGGCGUGAUGACGAGGCACUACGGUGCUGAAGCAACAAAUGCCCUGCUUCCAGGAAAAGCCUCUAAGCAUCAGGUAACAUCAAAUCGUACCCCAAACCGACACAGGUGGUCAGGUAGAGA